RNAcentral lists this small RNA (8141 nucleotides) under Pongo abelii (Sumatran orangutan). Its description in RNAcentral is "retained intron". The record is from RNAcentral. Lineage: Eukaryota; Metazoa; Chordata; Mammalia; Primates; Hominidae.
GGUCACAGUGGAGCUGGCAAAUCUUCACUGCUAAAUAUUCUUAAUGGAUCGUCUGUUCCAACAGAAGGAUCAGUUACCAUCCGUAAUAAAAAUCUCUCUGAAAUGCAAGACUUGGAGGAAAUCAGAAAGAUAACCGGCGUCUGUCCUCAAUUCAAUGUUCAGUUUGACAUACUCACCGUGAAGGAAAACCUCAGCCUGUUUGCUAAAAUAAAAGGGAUUCAUCCAAAGGAAAUGGAACAACAGGUACAACGAAUAUUAUUGGAAUUGGACAUGCAAAACAUUCAAGAUAACCUUGCUAAACAUUUAAGUGAAGGACAGAAAAGAAAGCUGACUUUUGGGAUUGCCAUUUUAGGAGAUCCUCAAGUAAGUGAGAUUAUGCAUGGGGAAGGAAGCAGGUCGAAUGUCUGCAAAAUGUCAAGUUCUUUUACCACUAAAAGUGGUAGAGCUUUCAUUGUAAUGCAUCAAGAGAGAACCUGCUAUGUUUAACUAUAAAUAGAAGUAUAUUGGAGAAAAAUGGCUGGAUGGUUAUUAUUUUAUGGUGUUUAUUGUUUUUCAUGCUAUCUUCUGGAUACAGUUCAUGUGAAAGAGAGACAUAUUUUAUGUAUCUUCAUUCUCUGUAGAUUUUGCUCUUAGAUGAACCAACUACUGGAUUGGAUCCCUUUUCCAGAGAUCAAGUGUGGAGCCUCCUGAGAGAGCGUAGAGCAGAUCAUGUGAUCCUUUUCAGUACCCAGUCCAUGGAUGAGGCUGACAUCCUGGCUGGUAAUUGUUGGUUUUAUCUCAGUGUUACCAUGAUGCAAUUGGGGAAUUUAGAAGCAAGGUCUAUUCCAAGGGUAAGAGCCCUACUCUCAUUACGGUGAUGUUCCUACAUUCUAUAGCAGUCAGGAGGAUGACAGGAGUCUAGUUCCACUGUGGAAUUCCUUUCUGGUUGUACAUUUGCUAGGUAGUGACAACUAAUGAAAAAUUCUGAUUACCUUUUUUUUUAGAUCAGCUAUCAAUUAAUGUAAACAUUCAAAUCUUAUUUUAUAUAUAUUUAAUUGAAAAAUAGACACUCAUUCUUUAGCAUCAGAGUAUACAGUAUACCAUGUAAUUUAUGUGGUUUUUUUUUCAGAAAGUAUUGGAAGGUGCAGAUAGACUGGUGUUCAUGAGCUUAUUUUAUUUUAAAUUUAAUUUAUUUGUAUAAAUUUAAUGAGUACAAGUACCGUUUUGUUACAUGGAUAUAUUAUGUAGUGGUGAAGUCUGGGCUUCUGGUGUAUUCAUCACCAAAUAAUAUAGAUUGUACCCAUUAAAUAAUUUCUCAUUCCCCAUCCCCCUCUGACUCUCUUACCCUUCCGAGUCUUCAGUGUCUAUUACUCCAAACUGUAUGUCCAUGUGUACCCAUUUUUUAGCUCUCACUUAUAAAUGAGAACAUGCAGUAUUUGACUUUCUGUUUCUGUGUUGUUUCACUUAUGAUAAUAGACUCCAGUUCCAUCCAUGUUGCUGCAAAAGACAUGGUUUCAUUCUAUUUUAUGGCUGAAUAAUAUCAUGAGUUCAUUUUAAAUGCAUCGAUUUUAAUGUGUAUUUCAAAUGUUAAAAUGCACACUAGAUCUAGUUAUACCCUGUUGAAUACUUCUCCUUUGCACUUCUGAGCCUUGGCUCCUCGUCUUUCUUUACUAGAGAAGGAAGAAAUGACCCCCAAUAUAUUUUCUCAUUUGAUUUCUUUCAUUCAGAUAGAAAAGUGAUCAUGUCCAAUGGGAGACUGAAGUGUGCAGGUUCUUCUAUCUUUUUGAAAAGAAGGUGGGGUCUUGGAUAUCACCUAAGGUAAAGACUUUGGGAAUAGAUUGGAUUUAUGUGUUUGCAAUACUGGUAUAUGAAAAAGGUGGACAAUUAUGAAACAGAACUGGCCUUAUGCUUCAUUUCUACCAUACUGGAUUGAUCAGUGUUUCCUGAAUACUUUUCCUACUUUCCUUCCUCCUGUGUCUUUACAAUGUUAAUCAUUGGCAACAUUUCAGCAUGAUAAACCAAGCCUGACUUUUCACAGCAAGACUACUUCAUGUGCCAGUUUUCUAGGUAGCUGUUCUGUGCAGCCUAAACCUCUACCUUAUUCCUACCCACAUUUUCCUCAGCUGAUCCAUAGAAUUCUGAAGUAUGUUUUCAUUCUUUCAUAGGGCAAAAAGGCAAAUAAUUUCAGAAGCCAGUAUCAAUAAGGAGAGAAUCUAGGGGCAGAGAGUGAUGAUAACUGUGGCUAAAAAAAAGUGUAUAUAUUAGUCUCUCCUCAUGCUGCUAAUGACAUACCCGAAACUGGGUAAUAUAUAAAGGAAAGAGGUUUAAUUGACUCACAGUUCAACGUGGCUGAGUAGGCCUCAGGAAACUUACAAUCAUGGCAGAAGGGAAAGCAAACACGCCCUUCUUCACAUGGCGGCAGCAAGGAGAAAUGCAGAGUGAAGGCAGGGAAAGGCCCCUUAUAAAACCAUCAUAUCUCGUGAGAACUCACUAUCAUGAGAACAGCAUGAGGGUAACUGCCCCUAUGAUUCAGUUACCUCCCACUGGGUCCCUCCUAUAACAUGUGGGAAUUAUGGGAACUACAAUUCAAGAUGACAUUUGGGUGUGGACACAGUCAAACCAUAUUGGUGUAUAUCCAGGCUAAAGUAAUUGUUUAAAAUAACCCUAUGGCCAAACAAAGCAUGCAUGUGGGCCAGAUUUUCUCUACUAUCUAAUGAUAUAGUCUGGUAUCAUAAUUAUUUCCCCUAAGAAGUCUCUUCUUCCUAACAUUCUCACCUUCCUACAUUUAUCUAUAACUAUACUUACAAAACUCUAUAUAGUUUCAUUUACAUUAUAUAUUUGUUUGUAUAUUUUGUAAUUGUUCUGAGCUUAUACAUUUUCUAUAUAUAGAUUAUAAAAUUUUCAAACUGAUAGAUUACUAUCACGUUAGUAUUUACUCAUCUUUUUGUUCCAUAAAGCCAAGUAAAGUUGUGCUCAACAGCUAGGUGUUCAAUUAAAGCUCUUCUUUUGUGGUAGUGGUUGAGAAAAUGCAAAUGACUUAUCUUUUCUUUUAAAUAUUAGUUUACAUAGGGAUGAAAUAUGUAAUCCAGAACAAAUAACAUCCUUCAUUACUCAUCAUAUCCCUGAUGCUAAAUUAAAAACAGAAAACAAAGAAAAGCUUGUAUAUACUUUGCCACUGGAAAGGACAAAUACAUUUCCAGGUAACUCAACUAUGAUUACAAUGAAAUGAAAUUUGGGAAAAAAUGUUCACAUUAUUAUUAAAAUAGUUUUCUUUGUCCAGUGAAUUUAGACUUUUCUUAGUUUUGGCCACCUGAGAAGCAGAACUCAAGAGGAAGGAUUGAGUGCCAUUGAUUUAUUGGGUAGUUGCUUCGUGGAAGCACCAGCAGAUAAUGGGGACAGGAGAGAGGGAAGGGAAGGCAGUCAGGGAAGUCUGAAUUCUGGAGCAGAUUACUGUGGUAGGCAAUUGAGGUGCAAUGCCCACGGGAGGGAAAUAAAUGAAGUAAGUGGGCUCAGCGUUUUGUCACCAGAGGGGUGAGUAAGCUGGGAUUCUUAGCUGCUGUUCCCUAUCCAUUGUGGAUUAAGGGAUGCCUAUGAGAGCAUUAACUUUCUCAUCCUUCUGGCUUACUCUGAACAUGAGCUUAGAAUACUUCCAAAUACAGAAAAAGGACCUCAGGUAGGUGUUUUUAAUAAGCAGAUUUACUGUGUACAGGUGAAUGCAGAAGAGGUGUUGGUGGGGCAUAAAGGUUUCUGCUACAGGUUUCUCCUUGUAAGGUAGACCCCCAUUAUUCACAAGGAAUAGAUAGUUCCAAGAUCUCCAGUUCAUGUCUGAAACCAUGGAUAGAACCAAACCUAAUUGCCAUCAAUUGGAAAACAUUUCUGUUCAUGUCUUCCACCUACACACUGAAUGCCUUUUCCAUCUUAACUAAGCACUUAACACACAUUGUGGCUGUAACUUUUGCAGUUUGAGGUGCAACAGCAAAAGUAGCAUGAAUUUCUUUUGCCUUAUUCACAAUUUCACAGACAGAAGAUUCAUUCUUACAUUAGAUCUUAGCAUCAGCAUAAGAUUUUUUUUUCCUUGUUGAGAACUUUCACCUUUUCACUUACAGAAAGCAUUUUAUGGCUUUUCUUUGGCAUAUCCAAAUUGCCAGCAUCAUUACUCUUGCACUUUGGGAACCUUAUUAGGUAAAAUAGGGGUGCCUUGAACUGCAAUACCAUGACAGUUGCUCUGAUAUCCCAGAGGGCUACUAAGUGACAGGUGGGUAUACCACAGUUCUGCUGGACAGGGGAUGAUUCACGUCCUGAGCCUGAGCAAGAUGGAGUGUGAUGGCGAAGGAUUUCAUCACACUACUUACAAGGGCACACAACUGAAAACUUACGAAUUAUUUUUGAAAUUUUCCAUUUUAUGUUUUUAGACAGCAGUUGAUGGUGGAUAAUUGAAAGUGUGGAAAAUGAAACUGUAGAUAAGGCAGGAUUACUCUAUUUUAAUUGUGCAUGUAUUAUUUUGCAGAGAAAAACCACUUACAUAGUCUACAAAAGUGUUCAACCCUCGGUUCCCUGACAACUGGGUAGCAGCACCAAUUCAGACUUUGUUUGAUAAGCAGUCCUAAAGAUUACUAGCUCUUUGUGUAAUGUUUUCUACGUGUUAGGCACUGUUCUAAUGGUUUCAUAUAUAUUAACUCCUUUAGUUCUCACAACUGUUCUUUCUAUGAGAUGGGUGCUAUAACUUGCCCUAUCUUACAAAUGAGGAAAUAUAUUUCAGUCUCUUGAUUUAAACAGUUUCCCUUUGGUUUAAACAUUUAGUUUGUUAAAGGUAUAACUCCCUAUAGACCUACCUUAAUAAGCUCUUUUGCAUAAUUCGGUUUCAUUAGGCAAAUACUCAGGAAUUCCCAGAUUUUAGCUUCACUCCCCAGUGUGGCAGCUCUCUAUGUCCUUGCAGUAGCAUAGAAGAUGGUGUUCUUCUCAGAUCAGUGGACUAUGCCAUGUUAUUUUGUUCUUGGACUAAGGCCCUGUGAGGUGCAACUGGUCCACUUUCAUUUUUGGUCAGAGAAGGAGAAUAAGGAAUUAUAUGUUGGUACCACCACUGGAAUAUGUUACUUUGCCAGAGUCUCUGGUGUUGACCUCCUGGCCCAUGGCAGCCUCUUUACACAGACCCAAGGCCUCUGCUGUCUAAUGGCAUGCUUAUGUCCAUUUCCUGACAUGGGACUCCCAGGUCCCUUGCUGCCAUGUGCAGGUCAUAGGGAAACACAGUGUUUGCUACAGUCUCAUCCACCUAGUUCCUCUCAAUAAUGUCAUUGGCCCAUCCUCCCACCCAAAGUAGAAAGUAGCAUCUAAGAGUCUUCUAGAAUCCUGCAGUCUCAUCCAAGUAUCUCCAUGGAAGAGUUACCCAAUAAAUGUGUACUGGGAAACUAUUAUAUAAAAGGCACUGCUCCCAGAACUAGAAAUACCGCAGCCUACAUCUAACUAGAUAGGGAAAAGUAGACACACAAAAUAUACAAAAUUUUUCAACAAUUGUACACUAAAAUAAUAAACAAGGCCAGUGAGUUAGAGUGAUGACUGGUGUCUGGCUGAGGUUUAUAUAGAGUGGUCACUGAAGUCCACAAGAAGAAAAUGGUCAAGGGCACUCCAAGUCGAGGGGAAGGGAGGAUGGCUGGAGGGCAAUGAGUGAGGGAGCAGAAUGGCAAAUGGAGGUGGGUAAGGUUGUAUGGAUAGAUGGAGACAGGCUCUUUAGGAGCCUCAGAGGUUGUGUUAUUGACUUUGAUUUUUAUUUUAAAUGCAUUGAGAAACCAUUGAAAGACUUAUACAGAAAGAAGACCCAGAAUAUAGGUAGAGAUAUACAUGGGUUUGUAGUGUGGAGGUGAGAAGAUAAUGGUCUUUCUGAUUGUUCAGACUUCUGCAGAGAAAUCUGCAGGAAGUUCAUAAACUGAGAAUGGAAGACGAAGUGAGACAGUUUGAGGAUGGAGGAAGAGGUCUUCCUUAGUCAUUUCAGAGAAGGAGAGAAUUCUCAUGAAAUUUUGCUUUUCACUACUGUGAUACUCCAAAGACAUAAUUUUCUUAACAAUAUUAUGUAUCAUCUUUUAAAUAAGUAUUAAUUUACUUGGUUUAGUUCUCAAUGUGGUUUUUCAAAAUAUCUAUUCAUAUUUUUUGCCUUAGAUCUUUUCAGUGAUCUGGACAAGUGUUCUGACCAGGGAGUGACAGGUUAUGACAUUUCCAUGUCAACUCUAAAUGAAGUCUUUAUGAAACUGGAAGGACAGUCAACUAUUGAACAAGAUUUCGAACAAGUGGAGAUGAUAAGAGACUCAGAAAGCCUCAAUGAAAUGGAGCUGGCUCACUCUUCCUUCUCUGAAAUGCAGACAGCUGUGAGUGACAUGGGCCUCUGGAGAAUGCAAGUCUUUGCCAUGGCACGGCUCCGUUUCUUAAAGUUAAAACGUCAGACAAAAGUGUUAUUGACCCUAUUAUUGGUAUUUGGAAUCGCAAUGUUCCCUUUGAUUGUCGAAAAUAUAAUGUAUGCUAUGUUAAAUGAAAAGAUCGAUUGGGAAUUUAAAACCGAAUUAUAUUUUCUCUCUCCCGGACAACUUCCUCAGGAACCCCGUACCAGCCUGUUGAUCAUCAAUAACACAGGUGAAAAGAAAAAUAAAAUUUAAAUCCAGAAAUAAGUUAUUUUUAUUGUUGAAUAGCACAGGAUGGGGGGAAAGUAAAUCAUAAGAGAAGAAAAUGGGUAUUUAAACUUCAUUUAGAGAAAACACCUUAUGAGGAACAGUGCAUAUUUACUCUGAUUUUGGAGAUGACAGGGAUGAUGAGGACAAGAGAAAAAGAACCUGGGUCACUGUAUAACCUGGGAGAGUAAAGACGUCUAUCUACCAGACUACCCUAAGCUAUUACAUGAUAAAUAAACUUCUAUAUUGGUGCACCCAUUCUAUUUUGAGAUCCUUUUGUUACACAGCAGCCUAACCUAUACCACAAAGACCAUACACACUAGUUACCAUGUGAAGAUGGCCUAUCUAUUCCCCAUGCCCCUUCAUUAAGUACAAGAUACAGGAAGACGCCUUAUUUUGUUAUCCCAAACAAUGGGUAGUUGAUUUUGUUUUUCUUUUGUUUUGAGACAGAGUCUUGCUCUGUCGCCCAGACUGGAGGGCAGUGGUGCGAUCUGGGUUCAAUGCAACCUCCACCUCCCACGUUCAAGUGAUUCUCCUGCCUCAGCCUCCCAAGUAGCUGGGAUUACAGGCGCAUGCCAUCACGUCUGACUAAUUUGUGUGUGUGUUUGUAUAUUUUUAGUAGAGAUGGGGUUUUGCCAUGUUGGCCAGGCUGGUCUUGAACUCCUGGCCUCAAGUGAUCUGCCCUCCGGGGCCUUCCAAAGUGCUGGGAUUAUAGGUGUGAGCCACUGCCCCCAGCCGGUAAUUGUUUUUUUUUUUUUUUUUCCUAACCGCUUAAUUAACUUUGAAGAAGGAACUUUUAUGUUAGUACCUCAGAUGUUAAACAAACAAACAAAAAAGCCAAUGACAAUAAGAGUCUUCCUUUGCCGAGUUCCUCACUCAUUUGAUUUUCCCAUGGAUUUGCAAUUCAGGCCUACGGUGUAUGCUCUUUAAACAAAGAUGGUCUUUUCCUUUCGGUUUCUCAUUCUUCUUCUUGUUUUCCAUUUGAGUUUUGGAAAGUAAAUUUUAUUCCCCUCACUACCUUAAGUGCUAAUUGUAUGUUUAAUUUCUGAGAUCUAGAAAGGUUUCUUUACCUAUGAGCUCAUAAGAUGAGUAAAUCAGGUCUCUCUUUUCCUCUUUGGUCACUCUUGAGGGCAGUGGGCUUGUGUUAAUUUAUUUAUUUUUUUGUCUCUGUACUUACAUAUUUUAUGGUUUGAGUUUGAAGCUUCUGUGCCAUUUUGUUCCUCUUUUCUCAAAAUCUGCCAGUUAUUGGUAACACGUUUAUCUUUUAAAGUGAGCAUCCCUAUCUGCCUAGGUGAAUGUGGGUCGACAUAUGGCAUUGCACCUCAAGUGACUGUGGAGGUGGAGUGGGGUGUGUGGCUGCUCAAGGUGCAUGGAAAGCUUAUUUUCUAUGUGCGUGUUCCUGUAUCACUUGGUGGGGGGAUCCUAAUUCAUCUAAGGUUUGGCCUUAUUUUUCCAAUCCCAGAGCCCACUAUAAACUCCCAUUUCAAAGGCAAAAAAAAAAAAAAAAAA